UGGGCAGGCCAGAUGAUCGCCCCGAGCGAGGCCGCAAGGCCGAGUCGAGGGGAGGAAAGUCCGGACUCCACAGAGCAGCGUGCUGGAUAACGUCCAGUCAGGAUAAUAACCUGAAGGAAAGUGCAACAGAAAAUAUACGGCCGAACUGAUCCCUAAAGGAUCGGUGGCAAAGGUGAAAACGGGAGGUAAGAGCUCCCGACGGUCUGACCGGAGACGGUCGCGUUGUAAACCCCACGUGGAGCAAGACCAAAAAGGGAGAGGGAUAGCUCGUCCGUUAUGAUCCCGAGUAGGUCGCAAUGAGGUCUCAAGCAAUUGGGGCCCCAGACAGAUGAUCGUCCACGACAGAAUCCGGCUUAUCGGCCUGCCCUGUUU
Molecule: RNase P RNA, 372 nt
Filed under: Candidatus Margulisiibacteriota bacterium
Lineage: Bacteria; Bacillati; Candidatus Margulisiibacteriota
Description: RNase P RNA component class A
Rfam family: Bacterial RNase P class A
About the family: Ribonuclease P (RNase P) is a ubiquitous endoribonuclease, found in archaea, bacteria and eukarya as well as chloroplasts and mitochondria. Its best characterised activity is the generation of mature 5'-ends of tRNAs by cleaving the 5'-leader elements of precursor-tRNAs.
Source: RNAcentral